GUCAGUUUUGUUGACGUUUGUUGUUCUCAGUGCGUGUGGACGACACCUGUUAGAGUCUUGUCAUGUGAUCUACGGGAGGUAUGAGUUUGUCUCCAUGAAGGAUGUGUACAAGUAAAGGAGGUUGGAGCAAGAUGCAGCAGAACUCAAGGAAAGAAACUUAAUAGAUUCAACAGGUGGAAGAUUAGCAGCUUCUACCUGAGAAGAUGCCGUCCUUAUUUGCAUGCUUUGGGUGUGGUGGAGGUGGGGAGAGUGAUGAUAUUCGAACGCUGGACUACUGUCACUGUUCCCUCAAUGAUGUUCCGUCGGAUGUCUUUGCCUGCGAGCGUACCUUAGAAGAGCUUUAUCUGGAUUCAAAUCAGCUGAGUGAAUUACCACGACAGUUGUUUUAUUGUCAUGGUUUACGGAUACUUGGUCUGAGUGACAAUGAGCUCACCUCACUGCCUCCUGCUGUGGCUUCCCUUAUAACCCUCACCAAUAUUGACCUCAGCAAGAAUGCCAUUUCUGACAUCCCAGACCACAUCAAAGGCUGCAAGCAGCUGAGUGUGGUGGACGCCAGUAUCAACCCUCUGUGCCGACUCCCUGAAGGCUUCACACAAUUGCUUUCAUUACAAGAACUAUAUCUCAAUGAUACUUUUCUGGAAUAUCUACCUGCAAACUUUGGUCGGCUGUCGCGACUAAAGAUUUUGGAGCUACGUGAAAAUCAGCUGAACACUCUGCCAAAGUCCAUCGCACGUCUCACCAGUUUGCAGCGCCUGGAUGUUGGCCAGAAUGAUUUUUCAGAAUUACCAGAGGUAAUUGGCAGUCUUGAGAACUUGACUGAAUUGUGGUUUGACAACAACAAGAUUAAGUCGCUUCCUCCUCUCCUUGGUCGGCUGAAGAAACUGGUUCAUGUUGACGCGUCUAAAAACAAAGUGGACUGGGUGGCUGGUGAGGUGGAGAAUUGUGUCAUGCUCACUGACCUGCACCUCUCCUCCAAUAACCUUAAGGAACUUCCUGAGAAGCUGGGAGGUUGUCAGCAACUCCAGGUGCUAAAGCUUGAUGACAAUGCCCUAACUCACCUUCCUGAGUCAGUUGGUUGUCUGGCUGCCCUUGAAGAGCUGGUGGUCACCCAGAAUGAGUUAGAGACUCUGCCAGCAUCAAUGGGUCUCCUCCGUGCACUACACACCUUACACGUCGAUGAUAAUCUUUUAACAGAGCUGCCACCAGAGUUGGGGUCAUGUUCUCAGCUCACUGUCCUCACGGCCGCUUCAAAUCGCCUCAUGAGUGUGCCAGCUGAGCUUGGCCAUUUGCCUCGUCUUGCUAUUCUUAACUUAUGUGAUAAUCUAAUUCUUCACCUGCCUGUGUCUCUCACCAAGCUGAAGCUGCGAGCCCUGUGGUUGUCAGAGAACCAGAACAAACCUCAAGUCCAGUUACAGUCUGAGACCCUGCCUGAGACUGGUCAACGAGUCCUGACCUGUUUCAUGCUUCCCCAACAACCUCGUGUUCUCCAGCCAGAAACUGUAGUGGAGACAGACAACUUCCCUGGCCAGAGUUGGGACGAACAGCGACGAGCAAAAACACUCAUUAAAUUUGCCUUCGACGGAGACGUUGACAAGCCGGGUCUCUUAACCCGUGCUCCAACGCCCUACCCAAAAGAGCUCAAGGCACUGGCUAAACAUGCCCGUAACUUACACAGUCUGCAAAGGGACCCAGGCCGUCAGUUUGUGCUGGGACGUAGUCAGGAUUCUAACAAAACUUCCUCAUCAUCAAUAAUUCCAUCAACAAAAGAUGAAACUGAGAUAGAUUCGUCCAGAAAGGGUAAUGACAUUGCACUGAAGCAGCCAUUACUAGAUCAGUCUGGUAAUGCUUGUGUCCCUGUUGAUGACUCACUGGAGGCAGAAGAGAUCACCUCACCUCUAACAGUAAUAGAACCACAGGCUGAGGAGCGUCCACUGCUGCGGGAGGCUCGCAAUGUCCGCAACACCUACGGCAACAUGACCAGUGCCUCGGCUGCCCUCAACAACAAAAAUAACGCCAGUCUUUCCAACGUAUCUAAGCAUGUGACCCCAGAUACUGCGAUGGCAACUGACCGUCCUUAUGCCAUCGGGGAUAGAAAGAUGUUUGGUCAUGCACAGGUUGUGGCAAUGACUCAAUCUCGGGAUAAAGUGGUGAUCGACCCCAGUAAACCUGUUGUGUCUGGUAUGGAGGAGAGCAGAGCACAAGUUGCUUACCCAACACACGAGUCUUCCCCGCCAUUAUCCCAAGAAACCACCAUAGCUGCCACUCCAUCAUCUGCAACAGAAGGGGAAUUGGCAGGUGAUGUCUCAGACAAGCGCAUUAAGAAACCGCCGCCUUACCACAUUGCAGCUGUGAUGUCACGGCACGCUGCAGAUUUUAACGAAUCUAGUGUGGAGGUUUCUUCGGCACCCAGUGGUAUCCAGGGCAGUACUGGACUCACUGUUAAGGAUCUGCCAACGUCACAACAGAACUCAGCUGCCUCACCAGCAGCAGAAGAUGAGAACAACGACACAAGUAGCUCCAGUGACAGUGGCUAUGGCAAUGGGAAGAUAUCCAGUCAACAGAUUACUGAUGACCAACACUGCAGUGAUGGCAGUAGUAUCAACACUCCUUUAUCUCCACAAAACCUCACAGACUCUGCACUAUCAAUGCCCUCAACAUUAUCAUCACCACUUGGCAGUGCUGAUGUAGUGUCUCCACAUUCUGUCAAAUCCUUCAAUACACCAAUGUCAUUAUCUUCUAAAGCAUCUUCUUUAUCAGCAUCUGUUGCAGUCUCCUCCAAUGUAACACUACCAGUAAGUAGCCAGUCACUUGCUGCACCACAGAAUAUAUCUUCAGCCAUGUCACUGUCAUUUCCCGUCUCUUGCCCUUCCUACGACAACUUUCAAAACCCCAUCACAUCAAGAUCUGGGGAAGUUUCUUACCCAGUAUACAGUGUUGCCACAUCCAAUGCCAGACCAGCUUCUAUUGCCACUGGAACUCAGUUAGAGCAUUGCAGCGCUCGAGUGCCACAUCGACCGGGAUCCCUUGCCCUAGGAACUCUGGCAGAUUCCGCCCUGCUCAACAGAUUGCCUCGUGACCAGCGGCCGGGAUCUUUGGCUGCUCCCAUCAAUACCUUGGGCAUACCACCAGCACCUGCCAGAGCAGUGUCUCACAUGGGACUUAAUGUCACAAGUCCAACUAGACCACACGACCUGUCAAUGUUCAAGAACCAGGAUUUGACUCCAACCAGACGGGGAUGGACCCCAGACCAACAGUCCUUUGGUGGAACAACUAACCAUUGGCAGGAGAGUAAUGGCCUUGUCUCCAUUAUUGAUCAGGUGACGAGCAGCUUGCUAGAGCAUGGUGAUAGUCCACCACCCAAUAUGUUGGCCAGUAAAGUAGUGCCGUCCUCCAACACUAUGUCUGUGACACCGGUGCCAUCAGUUGGAUAUUCUCAGAUCACCACUCACUCUGGUAUAUAUGAAUCCUCAAGAAAGGCUUCAGUCACUUCUGUGAAUGCAUUUUCAUCAGGAGUUCACUUAAGUUCUGGUAGUGGUAGUGAGUGCCAGGAUAGUAGUAGGUCCUCAGUAGGUGGUGUUGGCUCUUCUGUUGGUCCCACAAACUUCACACAGGAUCAGCCACGAGGAGAGGUGCUGCACCCAACACCCCACCGCCCACAUCUCUCCUCCUCUAGUUCAAGGCUAACCCAUGAAUCCUUACAAGAUGCUAUAACUUCUGCCCAAGAUACUCCCAGUGAUCUUCAGCAAGCGGCCGGUCAUGAAUUACGCCCUGAAGCACCCCAGGCCCGUGAAGGGGUGAAUGGUGUGGGGAACGCUGAGUCCACUCUUUCUUCUAUAAAGGCCGCCCCAAAGCCCCUCUCAAGAAUUCCAUCUCGGAGCCCUGAAACAGCUCUACCUGUUAAGAACCUUCAGAAAGACUCCCCCAUCUCUAGUCACUCAUCUCACUUGCACCACGAGUCCAGAAUUCCCACUUUGGGUAGUAUGGGACGCAGCCCAAGUAGUGAGACUCAUUCUUCUGUCGAAUCUAGAAUACCAACUCCAGGUAAUAUGGGCACAAGUCCAGGUGGUCUGACUCAAGAAUCAAGAGUUACUUCACACUCUCACAUUCCCUCAUUAAAUUCCAAAGGACCUAGUUCAAGUAACUUGACUCAUGAUAAACACAUACUGGGUGAGUCUCGCAUACCAAUGUUAAGCAGUGUGGGACGAACUCCCAGUAACUUAACACAUGAUUCCCAGAUUUAUGGCGAGACCCUUAAACCUGUGGGUUACAGCCCCAGUGCUGAACCCCAUAACAUGAGUGAUUCUCGGAUUCCCGUAAUAGGAAUGAUGGGCCGAACCUCCAGUAACCUGACUCGUGAGUCCCUUGGUAUGGGUGCAGGUAAACACGGCAGCCCAGAUGUAAUUACAGGAAAUAAAAAUUUCACCCCCAACAAUAAAUCCCAAAUAGCAGGAAGCCCUGGGAGUAAUGGAUCUGGUAUUCCAUCACUGGUCACACAAGGCAGAAGCAGCAGUAACCUGAGCUCCAACAUACCUAGUCCUGGCACUGUCUCAAUUGGUAUGCAGAGUGAUGCCAGCAAACACCAGGUUGUGUAUGGAUAUGCCUCUAAACCACAGAAUCUUGGAGAUACUGGCCAGAUGUCUUCACCGUCACGGCUUCACUCGCCAGGAUAUUCUACUGGGAUUCGUCCUCCCACAAUUCACUCACCUAAUCAACAGCAGCCAUCACACCAGCCCCAGGUGAGGGGAUAUCCCAGCGGCAUACGUCCCCCGACAGUCAAUGCAGCCAUCAACACACCCGGCAUCCCAAUACCAUCUCCCGCUUCUCCGACCAGCCAGUUAAUGAACCCUGGCUCUCGUGGCUCUGUCACCUCCACGGGAUCAGCUUCUCGCAUCCCAAUGGCUGCAGGUGGGGCUGCAUCUAGGUUACCAACCCCAGGGACCAACAAGCUGCGGAUGUCACCAUCAGUGGCGCCGUCUCCAGAUGGCAGCAAGACCAACCACUCUGCCUGGAUGUUUGGUCAACACAAGAAUGCCCGAGUGGUAUGUCAGAAUACCAGGAAAUUUUGGGUUCCUGAACGAAGAGUUUCCAAGUUUCACAACAAAUGUUCCCGGUAGUAAUAGAAAAGAAUCCAGAUUUGGGCUUUGCCGUUGGCCAGUCACACACUGACCCAGAGGAUAAGAGCAUAUAUGUGAUGAGUGUUGUGGGUGGAGGAGCUGCGUCGUCUGCACUCAAAGUUGGAGACAAGCUCUU
Molecule: unclassified non-coding RNA, 5250 nt
Filed under: Homarus americanus (American lobster)
Lineage: Eukaryota; Metazoa; Arthropoda; Malacostraca; Decapoda; Nephropidae
Description: flocculation protein FLO11-like, transcript variant X1
Source: RNAcentral